RNAcentral lists this ribosomal RNA (430 nucleotides) under uncultured Alphaproteobacteria bacterium. RNAcentral's name for it is "bacterial SSU rRNA". It matches the Rfam family "Bacterial small subunit ribosomal RNA", at positions 29 to 505 of the family's 1533-position model. Lineage: Bacteria; Pseudomonadati; Pseudomonadota; Alphaproteobacteria. The record is from RNAcentral.
AACGAACGCUGGCGGCAUGCCUAACACAUGCAAGUCGAACGCUAUCUUGUAUAGAGUGGCGCACGGGUGAGUAACGCGUGGGAACCUACCUUUCUCUGCGGGACAACGGCUGGAAACGGCCGCUAAUACCGCAUACGCCCUACGGGGGAAAGGUCAGCCGGAGAAAGAGGGGCCCGCGUUAGAUUAGCUAGUUGGUGGGGUAAUGGCCUACCAAGGCGACGAUCUAUAGCUGGUCUGAGAGGAUGAUCAGCCACACUGGGACUGAGACACGGCCCAGACUCCUACGGGAGGCAGCAGUGGGGAAUAUUGGACAAUGGGGGCAACCCUGAUCCAGCAAUGCCGCGUGUGUGAUGAAGGCCCUAGGGUUGUAAAGCACUUUCACUGGUGAAGAUGAUGACGGUAACCAGAGAAGAAGCCCCGGCUAACUUCG